This 429-nucleotide ribosomal RNA is filed under the name Chloroflexota bacterium. RNAcentral describes it as "Chloroflexi bacterium partial 16S ribosomal RNA". It matches the Rfam family "Bacterial small subunit ribosomal RNA", at positions 355 to 776 of the family's 1533-position model. Lineage: Bacteria; Bacillati; Chloroflexota. The record is from RNAcentral.
UGGGGAAUAUUGCACAAUGGGCGCAAGCCUGAUGCAGCCAUGCCGCGUGUGUGAAGAAGGCCUUCGGGUUGUAAAGCACUUUCAGCGGGGAGGAAGGCGUUAAGGUUAAUAACCUUGGCGAUUGACGUUACCCGCAGAAGAAGCACCGGCUAACUCCGUGCCAGCAGCCGCGGUAAUCCGGAGGGUGCAAGCGUUAAUCGGAAUUACUGGGCGUAAAGCGCACGCAGGCGGUCUGUCAAGUCGGAUGUGAAAUCCCCGGGCUCAACCUGGGAACUGCAUUCGAAACUGGCAGGCUAGAGUCUUGUAGAGGGGGGUAGAAUUCCAUGUGUAGCGAUGAAAUGCGUAGAGAUGUGGAGGAAUACCGGUGGCGAAGGCGGCCCCCUGGACAAAGACUGACGCUCAGGUGCGAAAGCGUGGGGAGCAAACAGG